GACGAACGCUGGCGGCGUGCCUAAUACAUGCAAGUUGAGCGCUGAAGGUUGGUACUUGUACCAACUGGAUGAGCAGCGAACGGGUGAGUAACGCGUGGGGAAUCUGCCUUUGAGCGGGGGACAACAUUUGGAAACGAAUGCUAAUACCGCAUAAAAACUUUAAACACAAGUUUUAAGUUUGAAAGAUGCAAUUGCAUCACUCAAAGAUGAUCCCGCGUUGUAUUAGCUAGUUGGUGAGGUAAAGGCUCACCAAGGCGAUGAUACAUAGCCGACCUGAGAGGGUGAUCGGCCACAUUGGGACUGGGACACGGCCCAAACUCCUACGGGAGGCAGCAGUAGGGAAUCUUCGGCAAUGGACGAAAGUCUGACCGGGCAACGCCGCGUGAGUGAAGAAGGUUUUCGGAUCGUAAAACUCUGUUGGUAGAGAAGAACGUUGGUGAGAGUGGAAAGCUCAUCAAGUGACGGUAACUACCCAGAAAGGGACGGCUAACUACGUG
Molecule: ribosomal RNA, 497 nt
Filed under: uncultured bacterium
Lineage: Bacteria
Description: partial 16S ribosomal RNA
Rfam family: Bacterial small subunit ribosomal RNA
Source: RNAcentral